UACGUAGGGUGCAAGCGUUGUCCGGAAUUACUGGGCGUAAAGAGUUCGUAGGCGGUUUGUCGCGUCGUUUGUGAAAACCAGCAGCUCAACUGCUGGCUUGCAGGCGAUACGGGCAGACUUGGGUACUGCAGGGGAGACUGGAAUUCCUGGUGUAGCGGUGAAAUGCGCAGAUAUCAGGAGGAACACCGGUGGCGAAGGCGGGUCUCUGGGCAGUAACUGACGCUGAGGAACGAAAGCGUGGGUAGCGAACAGG
This 253-nucleotide ribosomal RNA is filed under the name uncultured bacterium. RNAcentral describes it as "partial 16S ribosomal RNA". It matches the Rfam family "Bacterial small subunit ribosomal RNA", at positions 524 to 776 of the family's 1533-position model. The record is from RNAcentral.